This is a long non-coding RNA of Alosa alosa (allis shad), 749 nucleotides long. RefSeq lists it as uncharacterized. Lineage: Eukaryota; Metazoa; Chordata; Actinopteri; Clupeiformes; Clupeidae. The record is from RefSeq and is a predicted model, not a curated record. The transcript is spliced from 3 exons.
UUUUAUUCCUUUACCCGCUGUAUAUCAGACGUUAUACUAAUUUCGUCUUGCAUCAUCUUUGGCGACAUUCAGCCGCCUUAUUUAGCCUAAUUAUCUUUAAGGCUACUAUAAAGAAAUACGACAAAUGGGAGCUAUUUAACAUAUAAAAUAUUUAUUCAAAUUAGAGGGAUUUGCACCCAGGCGCCAAUCUCAAAAAGUCCUGCAGGUGCUUCUCUGCUUCCGCAUCUGUUGAUUGGAGCAUGGGAUUUCUCACAGCUGCGCCUGGACAAGAGAGAGAAACAGAAUCGGUGUGAGAAAAAACAAUUUCGUCAUUUCCACAACUGGACAAAGUUAGGAGCAACCUUUUACAAUCUGUGGGAGCAACACAGCAACAGUGUCUGGCAUACGAGAGCUUGGAGUUUUGGAGGUUGUCCUCAAGCCUGUCAAGGUCCUCCAUUGUCUGAAGGGGAAGUGAAAAGGAGUCUUCCUCCAGUUGUGGUCGACCCCUUCCUACAUGCCCACCUUGCACCAGGCUCUCCACCAUGUUUGUGAGAUGGCGUAUUUGGAGGUCCAUCUCUCGGACAGCUUGUAGAAGCACCCUUUCAAAGGCUGCAUGAACAAGAUGCCUUCCAUAGGCAUACCUGCACAGGCUGGUUGCCUGAAUUCUCCUCUGGAGUGGAGGGCUUGAUAUGUUGCUGUGAAGAGCAAAAGGGAGGUAAAUGUCUUUUUACAAUAUGACAACUCUACCACCACUACCAUUAAUCUUUGUA